GAAAGAGUUGUACGUAAUAAAUAAAAGAAGAAAUAACUUACCUGUCAGCGGAGGCGGGAGGAAGGAAGGCGAACGACGAACCCUAGCCGCCUGAGGAAGGAACGCCCCUGAUCGAUCCUCAAGGUACCCUCACAAAAAUAUCCACAGACUGCAGUCGGAUCAAUGGUGUAUGUGUUUGUGUGUGUCAAUGGUAGGCCGGGAGAGAUCUCAGACCCGCAAGGUAGGCUCGGCAAAACCUACGAAAUCUCCACGGCUGCACUAACCAAUUGUGCGAGUAGGAUUAGAGUCGGAGUCUGCUACUUGUUUAGUACUAGUACGAGUAGGAUUAGGUUGUUUGGUCGGUUGUUCAUGUAUAUAUAUAUAUNAAGACAAAUAAGGAGAGAAAAAAGAGGACACGGCAAGGGCUCUUGGCUACAAGCUUUUGUCUGUUCGUCCUUCUUUGCUGUGAUCCAUCUUGUGGACGAAUCCUAACACACAUACAUACACAGUUCUCGUGAAUCAAUCUAGCUCGCUCCUGGUGAAAUUAAGCAAGACCAGCGAAGAUCCAUGGCGGUGGCGCUUCGAUGUGCGGCAAGAAGGCUCGGUGGCUCCCUGCAGCUCCAGCAAACGCAGGCGCCGCUCAUGCCAAGCAGGUUCAUGUCCUCCCGCCAGCUCUCCGGCGAGGUCUCUACCGAGGUAUCUUAACCAAAACUGACAUCUUUUUUCAAAUGAUCUAUGUAUCUCACGGCAUCAAGUACCGACGUAACCAGUGAUUAUCGAAUUCUAUGCAAUCGAAACAGCAGCUACUAGAAACAAGAGCAAAAUUAAUUACUUAUCGUCGUUAACUUUUUAAACCUGACCUGAACCUUUACAUCCUGGCUUAGUAGUAGGAGAACUGCAUGCAAAUCAUAUCAUAAGCAGCCUUAUUUUUCCCUGGUUUAUCUUUUUUUUUAAUUAUAAAGCCCUGGUUUAUCUGAGAACAAUCAAUUGUAAAUCAAUAACUGUAACGCAUAAGAUAAAUGUUGCCGUGGUUUUGAUAUCAUGAACCAUCUCAUCUGCUGCUUGAUAUGCACUUCCUAGUUCCUAGUAUGAUUCUGUGACUUCAUUGAUCCAUACACAGUAGAAUGAUUAUGUGACUAGUUAUUACACAUGCAUGAUGCAUAAGGAAUUCUAUAUAUAUCAAACCUCACUUAAUUAAGAGUAAUUAUUUACCAUUCACAAUCAGUGCUUACUUAAUGAUGGACGAUGCAAAUUAAGUACAAUGAUCAUUAUCUAUGUGUUUGAAUCCAGCAAGCUCGUGCACACUUUACACGCCGGGUUCAGCAGAAGAAGGAGGAGCUGUAUGAUGCGGUGUCUAAGGCAGAGCAGAAGAAGCAGGAGCUGUUCGAUGUGUUAUGUGAGGAGGAGCAGGCUGCAGUCGUGGAGGAGGGACGCCGGCUUGUGUCAAGCAAGGUAUACGAACCAAACAUGCAUGGUAUCUUUUUUCUCAUGAUUUAUGUAUCUCACGACAUCAAGCAUCGAUGUAGCCUGGGAUAAUCAAAUUAUAUGCAAUCCAAAGAGCAACGUGCAUGCGUAUCUUGUAUUAGCUACUAGCUGGAAACAAGAGCAAAAUUACUUACUCUUACUUAUCAUCGUUAUGAUUGUUAAACCUGACCUGAACAUGUACAUCCUGAUGUACUGCUACAUGUAGCAACAGGACUGCAUGCAAAUCAUAUCAUUAAGCAACUUAUUUCUCCUGGUUGAUCUGAGCAUCACUUUUUACUCAUCCCUUUAGCAAUCAUUGAUUACAACGUACUAUAAGAUAAGUUGCUGCGGUUGGGUAUCUUGAACGCAAUUGAUGCACUUCCUAUACUGGUCAGUUAUUUCUUUACUAAGCACGGACACUGUUAGUCGAUCAAUCUACUGCCGAAAUCGAUCCAUCCAUAUAAACUGAUUUUCAGCUAAUCCAAUGAACAAGGCCCUUACUUAAUUAGCAACCAAAGCAGACAUACAUUAUAUAUUAGUUCCAUCUAUAUACAGUAACUAUGGGAUAUUUUGAACCUCAGUUAAUUCUUCUUAUUAAUUAUUUACCAAUUACAAUCAGCACUUACUUAAUGCUCAACUAUGCAAAUUAAGUACAUCGAUCGUUAUCUAUGUGUACCAAUCCAGCAUGCUCGUGCACACUCUAGAUGCCAGAUCCAGCAGAAGGAGGAGGAGCUGUAUGAUGCGUUUUCUAAGGCUAAUGAGCAGCAUCUUUCAGCACAAGCCGCGGAAAAAACGCCAUUUGACAUUAUGUAAGAUCUCCUUCCUUAAUUUCCUGUUUGUUUGUUUGACAGGAGUUGUAUAUAUCUCAUUUGACCAACCCUCUCUGCAUGCAGGCGUUUUAGGAAGUACACACAAAUGGCUCGUGGUGUGCUAGAUUUGGCUUGCAAGGCAACAUUUUUCGUUUAUGGUGGUGCUUUCCUUUAUGGUAUCACUGGCGCCGACAGGAUGUUGGGGUUUCCAAGGAAAGUCUAUGAGGUCAAGAGAGAAGAUUAAGAACCAAAGAUGACCCCAUCUUGUUUUAAGUUUAACUAGCAAAAAGGCCGUGCGUUGUAACAGGAGAACAAAAUACCACACGUUUCUAAUUCAAUAAUUAUGACUGGACACCUUAGUAUGUAUGUGUAUANAUGGAUAUAUAUAUAUAUCCAUCUCCUCUAUUUACCGCUUGUCAUCCUUUCCACCCUCGUCGAUGGUG
This 2695-nucleotide long non-coding RNA is filed under the name Hordeum vulgare. Its description in RNAcentral is "long non-coding RNA (HVUL_LNC002462)". The record is from RNAcentral. Lineage: Eukaryota; Viridiplantae; Streptophyta; Magnoliopsida; Poales; Poaceae.